UACGUAGGGGGCAAGCGUUAUCCGGAUUUACUGGGUGUAAAGGGAGCGUAGACGGUGAAGCAAGUCUGGUGUGAAAGGCAGGGGCUCAACCCCUGGACUGCAUUGGAAACUGUUUUACUUGAGUGCCGGAGAGGUAAGCGGAAUUCCUAGUGUAGCGGUGAAAUGCGUAGAUAUUAGGAGGAACACCAGUGGCGAAGGCGGCUUACUGGACGGUAACUGACGUUGAGGCUCGAAAGCGUGGGGAGCAA
RNAcentral lists this ribosomal RNA (248 nucleotides) under uncultured Blautia sp. RNAcentral describes it as "partial 16S ribosomal RNA". It matches the Rfam family "Bacterial small subunit ribosomal RNA", at positions 524 to 771 of the family's 1533-position model. The record is from RNAcentral. Lineage: Bacteria; Bacillati; Bacillota; Clostridia; Lachnospirales; Lachnospiraceae.